This is a small nucleolar RNA of Eutrema salsugineum, 107 nucleotides long. It matches the Rfam family "Plant small nucleolar RNA R71". From Rfam's summary of the family: R71 is a member of the C/D box family of snoRNAs containing the C (UGAUGA) and D (CUGA) box motifs. Multiple nearly identical copies of this snoRNA have been identified in Arabidopsis, and it is thought to function as a 2'-O-ribose methylation guide for 18S ribosomal RNA. NCBI's taxonomy places the organism in Eukaryota, Viridiplantae, Streptophyta, Magnoliopsida, Brassicales, Brassicaceae. The record is from Rfam.
AAUCCAUAGUGAGGGCAAUCACAUUCAUACUCCUUAAAAUGCUCCCAGGCUUCAUAGAAAGAUUCAGUUGUCCCUUGUUGAAAGGUUGAGAUCUUUGUUCUCAAAUU